GUUCUGUGGGAGAAACCCUAAGCAGAUAAUCAGCAUUUAUUGUGUCCUCAGUGACUGGUCCAUUCUAUGCCAUAUACAACUGUCUUUACAGAGCUUGCAGUCUGCUGAGGGGAACAUCCAAAACUAUCUGAAGCCCCGGGCUGAACCAGGCUCUGCAGACAUUGGUGGUGUCCUAGAAGGCUCUUGCUGAGGUCUUAUGUCUGAAAAGAAACCCUCGGAAACCCACUUGAGUCUGUCUUGCAUUUCACAUGAAACAAGGCUUCAUUCUGCAAAAAUAUCUGGGACCUUCAAAUUCACAAGUGGAUUUUCUGCUCAGGGGAGAGCUACCAAUCGGUUGAAAGUUCUGUGUAAUUGCUGGGCCGCUGGGUUCUUUGCAUCUGUUCUUGGAGGCCACUGAAGUCACGUCCUGAGUUACCUCUCAUCUGGGCCUUGAUUUGCUUCAUCUUUGGCUGGGCCUCAACAAAUCUCUUCACCUGAAAGGAACUCCUUCAAAUGAACUGGUCGCCAUAUGAAUUGAUGCUACACUUUGAGCGUUGCCGCAGUCAGGUGAAUUCAAGCUACAGAGAAGAGGCGAUUCACAUUUUUUCCUUCUGUCUUGUAUUAUUCCUCCGGCUCAAGAACCUGCCAGAGAUGGAAUCUCCCUAUGUUCCCCAGGCUGAUCUUGAAUU
RNAcentral lists this long non-coding RNA (668 nucleotides) under Homo sapiens (human). RNAcentral describes it as "HSALNT0302507". The record is from RNAcentral. Lineage: Eukaryota; Metazoa; Chordata; Mammalia; Primates; Hominidae.